Molecule: microRNA, 23 nt
Filed under: Polistes canadensis
Lineage: Eukaryota; Metazoa; Arthropoda; Insecta; Hymenoptera; Vespidae
Description: pca-miR-3785-5p
Source: miRBase by way of RNAcentral
UCUCACGACGUAAUAGCGGCGCC